Molecule: long non-coding RNA, 1501 nt
Organism: Apis mellifera (honey bee)
Lineage: Eukaryota; Metazoa; Arthropoda; Insecta; Hymenoptera; Apidae
Exons: 4
Source: RefSeq, a predicted model, not a curated record
UAUAUAUGUAUAUAUAUAUAAAGAUUAUAUAAGAUAUAUAUGUAUAUGUAUAUAAAUGCAAAUACAGGUCAUCGAAUUGACGCAAUUCUCGAUAUAUUCGCGAGACAAAGUAAUCGGAAACGGUCUAUUUCUCUUGAGUUCGUUUUCGUGCGCAAGUGCUUUCCAUAUCUAACCUUUGUAUAUAUACGUAUAUAUACAUAUAUACACACAUAAUACCAAAUGCUUCUUGAUCUUUUUGUUCGGCAUUUUUCGCAUGUAUCUCGUAUCCGAUCACCGAUUAUUCCGAUCCUCUCAGGAUUUUAUGUUCGUUCUGUUAUAUCUUUUCUAACUCGAGCUUUUCUCGAUAUUUUUGCGCAUUGUUGUUCCUCGCGUCUCCCUGUUACUUUACUAACCUCUACGCUCCCUGUUUGCUUCGAUCUCCCUUUUUCUUUUUUCCUUUUCUCUCUCUCUCUCUCUCUCUCUCUCUCUCUCUCUCUCUCUCUCUCUAUCCAUGAGUCGAGAUGCGCUGCAGUCGACUUCCACUUGGUCGAGCGUGAUCGAAAUUGAUCUACGCGGUACAAAAGAGUGUAUCGACGGUCGGGACACUUCGGUCGGGCCGAUAGCAAAAGAGUUAAUUAUAAAGAGCCGAGCAUCAAAAUCCGAUACGUUGUCCAUCGUUGUUACUAACGGCGAUGACCAAUGAAGCCUCAGUGCGCGUUCGCUCGAUCGCGAACUGAACGUCGACCGGUUUAUCGGACAUGGUAAGAUCGAUAUGUAGCGGCAGAUAGGUUAGAAGAAAGAGACACUCGAUUUCAUAAUAAAAUAAAAAAACACCAAGUUCGUUUUUAUUCAGACCGGGAUUAUCCGAGAAUCGAUGGUUGUUGUGUACCGGUAUAUAUGUUUUAUUGUGAUUGAAGAAAGGUUAGUUUAUAUCGAUGGCGCUGCGAUAUGCAAUUUUUUUUUUUCAGUAUACACAAUGUAUGCCGUAAGCUGACAAAUGAUGAGAAAUACACAUCAUAAUUUUUCUGUAUCGAAAUGUAUUGAACAAUUUACCUCGGAACUCUCGCUCGGAUAAUCGCUUGGCAACGAAUGGUCGAUCAUCAAGUUCGCAUCGCUACCGGUAGUGGAUGGAGACACAUGUAUGAGCAACCGAGGCCGAGCAAUAGCAACGAGAGAAAGAGAAUGGCGCAGAUGAUGAGCAUAAUUUGAAAUCCUGUUAAUGGCGGUUCGGGCAAUGGAGCUGGUGCUGGAGUGGCCAAACUGUUGGAAAAGAAAAACAUCCAGCCUUAAGAGAUCUAAUUUUCAAGAAGCAUAAAGGAUCCAUUUAUUAAUAAAAUUGGAUAAGAAAUUUAGUGGAACGGCAAUAAUUCAUCAAGAGGCAAAAAAAGAAAAAGUCUUGAGGAAAAAGAACGAGUGAAGGAUGAUCUUGCUUAUGAAGCAGCAAAACUUUGUCAAUAAUUAAUACUUUCUUUGGUAAAUGGAAUAAUCGAUAUUUUAGAAAUAAAAUUUUAUACUUUUAAUA